This 75-nucleotide transfer RNA is filed under the name Chloroflexi bacterium OLB13. Its description in RNAcentral is "tRNA-Arg". It matches the Rfam family "tRNA". From Rfam's summary of the family: Transfer RNA (tRNA) molecules are approximately 80 nucleotides in length. Their secondary structure includes four short double-helical elements and three loops (D, anti-codon, and T loops). Further hydrogen bonds mediate the characteristic L-shaped molecular structure. tRNAs have two regions of fundamental functional importance: the anti-codon, which is responsible for specific mRNA codon recognition, and the 3' end, to which the tRNAs corresponding amino acid is attached (by aminoacyl-tRNA synthetases). tRNAs cope with the degeneracy of the genetic code in two manners: having more than one tRNA (with a specific anti-codon) for a particular amino acid; and 'wobble' base-pairing, i.e. permitting non-standard base-pairing at the 3rd anti-codon position. The record is from RNAcentral. Lineage: Bacteria; Bacillati; Chloroflexota. RNAcentral also lists the same sequence under 2 other names.
UGCCCCCGUAGCUCAGCGGAUAGAGCAGUCGCCUUCUAAGCGAAAGGUCGUAGGUUCGAUCCCUACCGGGGGUAU